RNAcentral lists this ribosomal RNA (460 nucleotides) under uncultured bacterium. RNAcentral describes it as "partial 16S ribosomal RNA". It matches the Rfam family "Bacterial small subunit ribosomal RNA", at positions 338 to 795 of the family's 1533-position model. The record is from RNAcentral.
CCUACGGGUGGCAGCAGUGAGGAAUAUUGGGCAAUGGGCGCGAGCCUGAACCAGCCAAGCAGCGUGAAGGAAGACGGCCCUAGGGGUUGUAAACUUCUUUUAUAAAGGAAUAAAGUGCGGCACGUGUGCCGUUUUGGAUGUGCCUUAUGAAUAAGGAUCGGCUAACUCCGUGCCAGCAGCCGCGGUAAUACGGAGGAUCCGAGCGUUAUCCGGAUUUAUUGGGUUUAAAGGGAGCGUAGGUGGGUAGUUAAGUCAGUUGUGAAAGUUUGCGGCUCAACCGCAAAAUUGCAGUUGAUACUGGCAGUCUUGAGUACAGUUGAGGUAGGCGGAAUUCGUGGUGUAGCGGUGAAAUGCUUAGAUAUCACGAAGAACUCCGAUUGCGAAGGCAGCUUACUAGACUGCAACUGACGUUGAGGCUCGAAAGUGUGGGUAUCAAACAGGAUUAGAUACCCCUGUAGUC